Molecule: long non-coding RNA, 1024 nt
Organism: Populus trichocarpa (black cottonwood)
Lineage: Eukaryota; Viridiplantae; Streptophyta; Magnoliopsida; Malpighiales; Salicaceae
Exons: 2
Source: RefSeq, a predicted model, not a curated record
AACUAGAUUUUUGCAUGGAUCACACGCUAUAACAUGUGGAGUGGCCCGCUACAUUCAAACAACAUGUGUAGCCUCUUCUAAUGGUAAAAAAUAGUCGUCGACGAUAACAUUUGAAGCAUCGCGUCUAGUCCUCUCCAUUAGGGUGAUGUGUUUCUAUUUAUGGUCGGCGUUUAGGUGGCGACGAUAUUUUUCUUUUCCUUUUUUUUUUUUUUUCAUCUCCCCGAGAUUUGUGCUGUCCAGUAAAAGUAAAAAGGUGUCCAAUAUUACAUCCAUUGUGUAAGCUGUAACUUAUUCGGGCCAUAAGAUUUUUGGGCAUAUUAUCGCUGCUAUGGGCUCUUAAUUGACCUGAGCUUUAGAACCCGAGCCCAAAAUAAACAACACAACAGAACAGGCUCGGCAGUCAGCAGCACUCUUUCACUAUUUCUUCUGCUUCCAAUGCUUAAUUAGCAGAAGCAAGCAAGCAUCCAUCUCAAUUUGCAGCGUGACAGAAGGAAAAAAAUGAAGCCCUGAUUCACUCACCUCCCAUUUCUCUCUUUCUUCAAACUCUUUAAAUGUGUAGGACCUUGUUGACUCGAUGAAUAUUAGCUAUUCUCUCUAAUGAACAAGGUAAAUGUUUCCCUCCUAGUACCCCCUUGCUUCUGAAAGUGAGUUGGUUUCUGGCAUCCGUAACAUUUAUCAAUGUAGUCUGUGUCUCUCUGCUGAAGAUUAGCCAUUAUCAAACCACCCUUUAUUGAGUUGCUACUGGUAGAGAUUGAAUCCCAUAACCUCCAUGCCGCGAUGGGUAUUUUUCAAGCUGGUAGCCCACAUAUUCAUGCUUGUACAUGUACAUGAAUAAUCUUUGUAUUUUCCCGACAAUACAAAGCAACAUUGACUUCGCAAGCUCAGUAGCUGGAUGCGCUUGUAUCUUUGUAUUUUCUCGACAAUCUCGAACUUGUUCUAGGCUUCUAAAUAAUCUUAGAAUCAUUCUGUCACCUUUUAAUUCUGAGAUAUUAUUAAAGAAACUUAAUCUUUCAUCCAAAUCAAA